Molecule: long non-coding RNA, 1274 nt
Filed under: Triticum aestivum (bread wheat)
Lineage: Eukaryota; Viridiplantae; Streptophyta; Magnoliopsida; Poales; Poaceae
Description: long non-coding RNA (TAES_LNC020685)
Source: RNAcentral
GUGUAGGCUAUGGAGCAGCAUAUCACGCAUAGAAAGACAAACCACAGUCAAACAACACAUGCACAAUAAGCUAGAGUUCACUUCAUAAUAUACGGGAGUUUUUGUUUUUGCUUUGCUUUGAGAUAGCUACCUGAGCAGCCAAAGACUCUAGUUUUAGAGCAUGCUUAAUAAGGAGCAUUCAGUUCACUGGUUACAUAAAUCCUGGUCGUGGCUUUGUUCAUGCAAGUAGCAGACGCAUUAAGAGACUCUCUUGAAGCUGGUCAAAGAGCAUUGUAGCGGAGCAUUGUUGAUGGUGAGCCUAGUUGCAUGAAGGACCAUUUUCCUCUUGAGAUGUCAGUCGAGGAGAAGCUAAUAUUAUAGGACAGGUAACCUGCAGUGAAACACAGGACAGAACACAAAGUUAAAGCAUGCUUAUGGCAGAUGAAUUUAGGAACAACACAUGAGAACAUAUCUGGGUUGUACCUAUAGGUAAUUAAUCUCUGCAUAGCUGGCGCAGAGUAGUCACUGCCUUGAUUUCUUUAAUAUGCCUUCCAGUAGUAGAGCUCCUUUUUUAGAAGUUAUUCUGGUUAGAGAUGAACAAUCGCUAUGUCUAUUUAGGCUUAAAAAUGCAGAGGUAGACACACAGUAUAAGAAUUGGCACCUUUUGUUUUCGGUCUUGGUCAUCUAACACUGGUCAGCCUUAUCAUUCUUUCCUUCAACAGUUGCUGAAAUAGCUUCAGCCUUAUCAUCAGACUACUCCUGUUGCACCUAGAAAACCAAGUGGUUUGGUAACAGAGCAAGAUGAGAUAUUAAUAUCCAAAGGACUGGCUCGAGCACGUUUUAGCUCACUCAAUCAGCUAGACAGCUUCGAAUAGAAUUUCUUUAUGUCCAUCUAUAUAUUUGUAUCUCCGUAAAACAUGCCACACUAGGUUUUCUUAUCCAAAGGACUGGCUCGAGCACGUUUUAGCUCACUCAAUCAGCUAGACAGCUUCGAAUAGAAUUUCUUUAUGUCCAUCUAUAUAUUUGUAUCUCCGUAAAACAUGCCACACUAGGUUUUCUUCCUCAUGUGAGAUAAGAAUUUGAUUGUACAAUUGUGCAAUCGAGAACGGCAUGAGAGAAAGCUAUAUCAACACAGCAACUAUCUUUUGCUGUACAAUUGAGUUGCUUUCAUAUGAGAUCUAAAAUAUGUGCAUUCACAUGUGUUUAUAUGAGUUGUAGAAAGAAACUUUACCUAAGAAGAAGGACCCAAUAAUCAUAUUUUCACAAAAGCACAAUUAGGGAUUACAGAGGAUUUU